RNAcentral lists this ribosomal RNA (222 nucleotides) under Ligilactobacillus salivarius. RNAcentral's name for it is "partial 23S ribosomal RNA". It matches the Rfam family "Bacterial large subunit ribosomal RNA", at positions 1419 to 1638 of the family's 2925-position model. The record is from RNAcentral. Lineage: Bacteria; Bacillati; Bacillota; Bacilli; Lactobacillales; Lactobacillaceae.
UGGAUAACAGGUUGAGAUUCCUGUACUGGUUAAACUUGUUUGAACAAUGGAGGGACGCAGGAGGCUAUCGAUGCGUACUGUUGGAUAUGUACGUUCAAGCAAUAAGUCUGUAGAUGAGUCAAAUGCUUAUCUACUUAAGGACAAGUUGUGAUGAGGAGCGAAAUUUAGUAGCGAAGUGAGAGACGUCACACUGCCAAGAAAAGCUUCUAGUUAGAGUUUAAU